GACGAACGCUGGCGGCGUGCUUAACACAUGCGAGUCGAACGGAAAGGCUCCAGCUUGCUGGCGUACUCGAGUGGCGAACGGGUGAGUAACACGUGGGUAAUCUGCCCUGCACUCUGGGAUAAGCCUGGGAAACUGGGUCUAAUACUGGAUAUGACCUUUCUCCUUAUGGGGUUUGGUGGAAAGUUUUUCGGUGUAGGAUGAGCCCGCGGCCUAUCAGCUUGUUGGUGGGGUGAUGGCUUACCAAGGCGACGACGGGUAGCCGGCCUGAGAGGGUGAUCGGCCACAUUGGGACUGAGAUACGGCCCAGACUCCUACGGGAGGCAGCAGUGGGGAAUAUUGCACAAUGGGCGGAAGCCUGAUGCAGCGACGCCGCGUGAGGGAUGACGGCCUUCGGGUUGUAAACCUCUUUCAGCAGGGACGAAGCGUAAGUGACGGUACCUGCAGAAGAAGCACCGGCUAACUAUGUG
Molecule: ribosomal RNA, 467 nt
Filed under: uncultured bacterium
Lineage: Bacteria
Description: partial 16S ribosomal RNA
Rfam family: Bacterial small subunit ribosomal RNA
Source: RNAcentral